Molecule: long non-coding RNA, 1174 nt
Filed under: Equus caballus (horse)
Lineage: Eukaryota; Metazoa; Chordata; Mammalia; Perissodactyla; Equidae
Description: lncRNA (ENSECAG00000048860.1)
Source: RNAcentral
UACCUUACAGUCUGAGGUCAGAAGCUGAAAUGUUGCUCACUGGACAAAGAUCAAGAUGUCAGCAGGGUUGUGUUCCCUUCCAGAGACUCUGCGGAAGAAUUCUACGUGGAGAAUUCACGUCCUUGCCCUUUCCCGCUUCUGGAGGCUGCCGCAUGCCUCUGCUCCCUUCCCUCCUCCAUCUUCAAGCAACAACAGGGAAGUCUUCUUACAUUGCAUCACUCUAACCUCCUCUUUUCCCUCCUUCUUCCACAUUUAAGGACUCUUGUGAGCACAUUGGUCCACCUGGAUAAUGCAGGUUACUCUCCCCAUCUCAAGGUCUUUAAUCACAUCCACAAAUUCCCUUUUGUCAUGUAAGGUAACAUAUUCAUGGGUUGCAGGGAUUCAGGCAGGGUCCAGCUUUAGCAGGGGCCACUAGUCUCCCUACUAUAGGCAUAAAACAGAUCAAGAAUCAAGCCAGGGGAGAGGGGUGGCAAUUAGAGGUAGGUGGCUAGUGGUCGGGUCAUCAGCAGCUGAGAGUCUAUAGUUUACAAGAACAAAACUACCCCUUUCCAAAUGAUCGCCCUAAGAAUUCCACCCCAGAUGGGACACGGAGUACAGGCGUGCCUCAUUACAAGUAAACGUCACACGAGGAAAGCUGCCCUGACCCACUCAGAUAAUUUGCCAAAGCAAGGAAUCACCACGGCGAAGUCAACCAAGCCUCACCCUGCUGGAACUGCCAGCGGUUUGCACCACUUAAACGUCUCCUAAUGGGCUAAAGCAGUUGCUAAUGGGCUAAUAAGCUGGCCAUUAACAGCUUCUUAAGUAGCAGACUGGGGGAGCCUGUGAUUCUAGUUACAGCCCCUGAGAUUGAGCUGUCGUCUCAGUUUAUAAAAGCCCCUAAAUUGGGGCAAGAACUCUUUCCCCUAAAGGUUGAUUUAUUUGCCUCCAAAUACCAAGGCAGCAAUUGUUCAAGUUACCAAAGAAUUUCUCCCUUCAUGAAAAUAUUCGCUCUGAAGUUCCCUGCCAGGUUCUUCCUUUGGGCAUUUAAAUGUUGGUUUACAGACCCUGAGUUAUUUCCAGAGACACUAAGGAAUAGAGACAUUUUUUAACGGAACUUUAAGACAUACUGUUUAAAAAUCAGUCAGAAAUGAAGAUAGAGCCUCAUGACAAUCGUAAUACAAAUGUCCCCCAGCAU